Equus asinus (donkey) is the source of this 2083-nucleotide long non-coding RNA. The record is from Ensembl. NCBI's taxonomy places the organism in Eukaryota, Metazoa, Chordata, Mammalia, Perissodactyla, Equidae.
UCCUCUCACCUUCUCUGCUUUCAUUUCCCCCAGGGCCCCAGCUUCAUCCUGUCACUGCUGCUGGACCAGAGCCAGUGAAGGCCAUCUCUUAGGGCUCCCCACAACUCCUUAACUGAGGUCCUGUUUGCCUCUGUUUUUAAAUUCUUGAGGUAGGGCAUCCACCACAUAAGCCAGCCUCUUUUGAGCUAAAACCAAUCACCUUCCAUAGGAUAAUUUGUAUUUCAUACAAAAGACCCUCUCCCCACUAAGCCAGAACAGGGAGGGACAAUGGGGGUGGACACUGUGUUGAAUCUACAGAAAAUAUAUGGAGGAAUUUCCUACUCAAGUCCCCACACUGAAGCCUGGCAUAGAGGCCAUUCCGUGGCUUUCUUUAUAAGGUCACCCAACAUGAAGCUUAAGCCCCUGAGGUCUAAUUAGGAGGGUUAAGUGUUUAACAGAGGAUUCACAUUGCUGAAGAGCAACUGGAUGGAAGCAUCAUACUCUGCCCCCCUCGGCAUUCUAAUUCUAACAGCAUUGAAAGUCCUGUCAUCCCCGUGAGUCAGUGAGCAGCCAGGCUCAGUCUGUCCCUGUGACACCCAUCACUGGAUGUGUUUGGCUUUGCCGGCCAUAUGGCAGCUCAGAAGAGCUCUUUUGUAGUUUGAUGAUCUGGAAACUACUAAGGUUCUCUUGACAUUCUGUGUUGCUGGCUCGUUUCUGUUUGGGAAGAGCGGAUGCUGCUAGGGCUUACCUUGCCCUUGACUCUACUGAGGGAGCACUAUGAACCAAUCAUUUUCAUCGCUCAAGCGGGAUUAUCUUAACCUGCAAAGCAGAUGGUUUUUGAGCACUUGGCUGAUGCCUGAUGCCCAAUUGGGAUUAAUCUCCACAUCCUAACAAGAGGAACGACUAUUUCUCAGGGAACAGAAGUGGAGGUGCAUUCAGACCAUAUGUGUAAAUUUGGGAUCAGCUUUCUGUGAUGAAACUGGAAGCGAAUCCCAGAUGAGAGGCUCAACUGUUUCAGAAGAACAUUGCAAAGCCCAGCGCUCCUAACCAAGUUGUCACACACAGAGCAGAACUAUUGAUGAGAGCCAUCCAACAUCUGUUGCCUGGGUAACCAUCAAUCCACUAAGCCGGCUCUGAGUCAUAAAUGGCAUGGGGAGAAGGUCUGCUGGGAUAGAGGGCAGUGCAAACUCUUUUCAUCCUUCCCCAUCUCCAGAUGUGGCCUACGGCUGCCAUACAAGGUUAAUAGAAGCCUAUUAUCAAAUCCCUAAAGACCUAAAAGAAACCCUCUUUCCCUGACCCUCACUCAAAGUUUCUUGGACCUCCAUUAGUUUUUUCACAAAACCUCCCCAGAUUCUUAACAGUGCUUAGCAUAUUACCAUUGCUAAGCAGCACUACUCAAAAUGCCAGUCUGCUGAUUGGUGCUACGUUAUUCCACACCAGCAUCUGGCUCCCAGCCCGCACUUGGAGUAGCACUGGGCUAGAGCACCUACUCCUUAGGACCACUGUGGUAGCCAGUCAGAGCUCACACACUUACCGUGACUUUCACUUGGGACUUUGGUAACGGGAAAACCUACUACAUGGUUCUCCUUUCAUGUAUUCCAUCACAUCCAAUAUGCUGAACACAAUGUAGAGAGCAAAAUGAAUAAUAUGCCUUUGCAGAGCAACUAGUUCUAGUUCUCUAAAAAUACUCCAAGAUGUAUUCCCAAAAGAACUGAAAAUAAUUUUCAAGCAAAAACUUAUACAUAAAUGUUCAUAGCAGCACUAUUUACCACAGCCAAAAGGUGGAAACAACCCAAAUGUCCAUCAGUGGAUGAAUGGAUAAGCAAAAUGUAGUAUAUAAAGAAAAUACAUUACCCACAGUUCCAUCACCCAAAACCAAAUACUGUUCACAUCUUGUUUCAGUUUAUGUUCCAUAGUAAUAAUUCAUACUGCAUAUAUAAUUUAUAUUUUGUUUUCAAACUUUAUGUUAUUUCCAAAGUAUUGCCUGUGUUCCAUAAGUUUCAUGAGCUUAAACUACCAGGUAGAGGUUCCUGAUACAUAUUUCUUAAAUUGCUUCUUAAUAUUGUACUAAUUUAUACUGACCCCCGUAAUAUAUGAAAAUAUC